CGGUGGUACCGCCAGGACCUAGGAAACCCAAGAUGAGACAUUUUUAGGCUCCAAGUUUGAUUCAACUUGAGGCCUAUAAAUACCCCUCUCAUCCCUGGUUAACUUACAUAAGCACAAAGAGCUUAAAAGUGGGAAAACAUUGUUGUAAUCACUUGAGAGAUCUCCUCAUCUAGUCUAAGUUUAGAAUUCUAUUUAGGAAGAGUAAGUGCUUGUAAAGGUUGUCUCCUAAACCUCUGAAAAGGAGAAGAGGGGUGUAAAACGUGGUUGGUUUUCGCCUAUUAAAGGAAGACCGAUAGUGGA
Molecule: long non-coding RNA, 300 nt
Filed under: Musa acuminata (dwarf banana)
Lineage: Eukaryota; Viridiplantae; Streptophyta; Magnoliopsida; Zingiberales; Musaceae
Description: long non-coding RNA (MACU_LNC005402)
Source: RNAcentral